CUGUUAAAGAAGCAAAAACUCUUCUAAUAUCAGUCAAUAGUUAUUAGUUAUUGAUGACAUUUGGUAAUAUAUCGAUAUCUCUGUGUUCUCUUAUGUCUGUGUCGUCAACAUUUGAACAUUUUUGAGCGGUCCGCUCUUUCUGACUGUAAACAAAGCCGUUCUCCACCUCCUCUAACCUGAUUGGUUGUGAGGCAGACGCUGCUCCCCCGUGUCGUUCAGGAGCCCAAACAAAGUUAGCGUGCUACAAUAUCGGACAGUAGAAACCAACCAGAAAGUUCGGAAAAUUGUCUGAAUCCUCCUUUGGCCACGACUGCCGACACAAGCAAGAAAACACUCAAACAUAAACAGUCAGCAAGAAAACAGUCAGCAAGAAAACUGUCAACAGGAAAACAGUCAGCAAGAAAACAGUCAACAAGAAAACAGUUAACCAUAAUGAAUCAACAAGAAAACAGUCAACCCCAAAACAGUCAACCAAAAACAGUCAACAAGAAAAUAGUCAACAAGAAAACAGUCAACCAUAAUCAGUCAGCAAGAAAACAGUCAACACCAAAACAGUCAACCAAAAACAGUCAACAAGAAAACAGUCAACAUCAAAACAGUCAACAUCAAAACAGUCAACAUCACAACAGUCAACAAGAAAACAGUCAACAUCAAAGCAGUCAACACCAAAACAGUCAACAAGAAAACAGUCAACAUCAAAGCAGUCAGCAAGCAAACAGUCAACACCAAAACAGUCAACAAGAAAACAGUCAACCCCAAAACAGUCAACCAAAAACAGUCAACCCCAAAACAGUCAACCAAAAACAGUCAACAAGAAAACAGUCAACAAGAAAACAGUCAACAUCAAAACAGUCAACACCAAAACAGUCAACACCAAAACAGUCAACCACAAAGCAGUCAGCAAGCAAACAGUCAACACCAAAACAGUCAACAAGAAAACAGUCAACCAUAAUGAAUCAACAAGAAAAUAGUCAACCCCAAAACAGUCAACCAUAAUCAGUCAGCAAGAAAACAGUCAACAAGAAAACAGUUAACCAUAAUGAAUCAACAAGAAAACAGUCAACCCCAAAACAGUCAACCAAAAACAGUCAACAAGAAAAUAGUCAACAAGAAAACAGUCAACCAUAAUCAGUCAGCAAGAAAACAGUCAACAAGAAAACAGUCAACAAGAAAACAGCCAGCAAGAAAACAGUCAACAAGAAAACAGUCAACAUCAAAACAGUCAACAAGAAAACAGUCAACAUCAAAGCAGUCAACAAGAAAACAGUCAACAAGAAAACAGUCAACCAUAAUCAGUCAACAAGAAAACAGUCAACAAGAAAACAGCCAGCAAGAAAACAGUCAACAUCAAAACAGUCAACACCAAAACAGUCAACCAUAAA
Xyrichtys novacula (pearly razorfish) is the source of this 1382-nucleotide non-coding RNA. Lineage: Eukaryota; Metazoa; Chordata; Actinopteri; Labriformes; Labridae. The record is from the annotation of a GenBank genome assembly.